AUUGAACGCUGGCGGCAGGCCUAACACAUGCAAGUCGAACGAGUGGCGGACGGGUGAGUAAGGUAUGGGACACGGCGUGAUGGAGGGGGAUAACUACUGGAAACGGUAGCUAAUACCGAAUAGCUUCAGAUGGGCCCAGAUGGGAUUAGCUUGUGGGUGGGGUAACGGCUAACGAAGGCGACGAUCCCUAGCUGGUCUGAGAGGAUGACCAGCAACACUGGAACUAAGACACGGUCCAGACUCCUACGGGAGGCAGCAGUGGGGAAUAUUGCACAAUGGGCGCAAGCCUGAUGCAGCCCUGCCGCGUGUAUGAAGAAGGCCUUCGGGUUGGAAAGUACUUUCAGCGGGGAGGCGUUACCCGCAGAAGAAGCACCGGCUAACUCCGUGCCAGCAGCCGCGGUAAUAC
RNAcentral lists this ribosomal RNA (406 nucleotides) under uncultured bacterium. RNAcentral's name for it is "partial 16S ribosomal RNA". It matches the Rfam family "Bacterial small subunit ribosomal RNA", at positions 29 to 526 of the family's 1533-position model. The record is from RNAcentral.